RNAcentral lists this long non-coding RNA (611 nucleotides) under Homo sapiens (human). RNAcentral's name for it is "novel transcript". The record is from RNAcentral. Lineage: Eukaryota; Metazoa; Chordata; Mammalia; Primates; Hominidae.
CCAUUUACAGGACAGUUCUGUGCCCUUCCUCAGGAGGUCCCAUUCCUUCCUUCUUUUGGUCGGUUCUGAGUGUCAGCUGUCUACUGGGGAUCUGCUAAGGCUAAGAGGCAAAGAUAGGCAAGUCACUCCCCUGACCUCAAGAAACUCCCAGUCUACAGGCGAAGAUACACCACCCACCGGUAGAGUCGCUGGACCAGAAUAUUAGGUGUUCCAGUCAAAGUCACCCAGAUUUGCCAAAAGACCUGGCACAAAUGUCACUUCCACUAUGAAGUCCCACUGACUUCCAUAUACAAGACAAUCUGCUGGGAAUUUCUUGGGUUGACAGCUCUUGGAUCCCUAUUUUGAACAGUGGUAGUGUCCUGGAUUACUUUUCAGAAAGAAGUAAUCCUUUUUAUGACAGAACAUGUAAUAAUGAAGUGGUCAAAAUGCAGAGGCUAACAUUAGAACACUUGAAUCAGAUGGUUGGAAUCGAGUACAUCCUUUUGCAUGCUCAAGAGCCCAUUCUUUUCAUCAUUCGGAAGCAACAGCGGCAGUCCCCUGCCCAAGUUAUCCCACUAGCUGAUUACUAUAUCAUUGCUGGAGUGAUCUAUCAGGCACCAGACUUGGGAUCA